AGUGAACGCUGGCGGUAGGCCUAACACAUGCAAGUCGAACGGCAGCACAGUAAGAGCUUGCUCUUACGGGUGGCGAGUGGCGGACGGGUGAGGAAUACAUCGGAAUCUACUUUUUCGUGGGGGAUAACGUAGGGAAACUUACGCUAAUACCGCAUACGACCUACGGGUGAAAGCAGGGGAUCUUCGGACCUUGCGCGAUUGAAUGAGCCGAUGUCGGAUUUGCUAGUUGGCGGGGUAAAGGCCCACCAAGGCGACGAUCCGUAGCUGGUCUGAGAGGAGGAUCAGCCACACUGGAUCGGAGAGACGGUCCAGACUCCUACGGAAGGCAGCAGUGGGUAAUAUAGGACAGUGGGCGCAAGCCUGAUCCAGCCAGACCGCGUGGGUGAAGAAGGCCUGCGGGUUGUAAAGCCCUUUUGUUGGGAAAGAAAAGCAGCAGGUUAAUACCCCGCUGUUCGGACGGAACCCAAAGAAUAAGCACCGGCAAACUUCGU
RNAcentral lists this ribosomal RNA (491 nucleotides) under uncultured bacterium. RNAcentral describes it as "partial 16S ribosomal RNA". It matches the Rfam family "Bacterial small subunit ribosomal RNA", at positions 29 to 506 of the family's 1533-position model. The record is from RNAcentral.